GGCUCAAAUGUUAAUAUUAUGAAACAUUGGUGUUUUUUUUUUCUAGCUUGCAUUUUAUACUUUCCCUACACCUUUGGUGAGGAAAGUUUCUCAAGAAGAAUGGAUGGAUUUCUGAAGUUUGGGAUCUUGUUUGAUCCUGGUCUUGACUUUUCGUUAAAUUUCAUCUACCAGGGUCCAAAGUUCUGCAAGUUAAAAAGCGGUUGGCCAAGCAUUCUUAUCUUGAAGACUGAACAAGGUGUGGUAAUACUGACGUGAGGCUCCACAGCAUUGGGAAAUUUACAUUUAAUUCCUUUCCACAAUGUGUCUGUAAUCUCCUCAGGAAGAAAAUGUUAUUCUCACCAUCCCCUCCCACCCCAAUUUUGUUGAUGAAUUUUCUUAUAAUUUAGAAUGUAUGUUAACUUUGCCAUUUUAUUUUGUUUGAUUUGGCAGAGCCAAUUUAAUUUGAAGUUUCUGUUUAGAUCUUCUUUCCUUCUUACACACCCCACCUCUUAGGAUUCCUAGCCACUGGAAAAUGGAGAAGAGGUGUGGAAGAUGAAUCACUUACGUGUAAAAGGUGGUAUGGUCCUCCUGGGAGAUUCCUUCAGCAAGUUUAGUUCCUUGCUAACAAGGUUAACCCAGAUAAGGUCUUUAUUUUGGUAUGGAUGAUAUCUCCUUGAUAACCUAUGGACUUGCCUUAUUUUGAGUACCCCAUGUUUCUUCACUAUCGAAUUAAAUCCCUCUCCCAAAAAAUCUCACCCCUCUUCCUAACUUCCCUAUUUCUGUCAAGGGCACCACCAUACUUCUAAUCCCGCUUCAUCUAGAAUGUAGGAAUUGUCCUUCAUUCUUCCUCUCCUUCUUCCCACCCCAUCCAAUUAGUCAGUUACUUCUACCUACAUAACAUCUCUUGUAUUUAUCGUCUCCUGUAUAAUCACAAAGCCACCACUCUAAUUCAAGCCCAUAUCAGUUCUCACCUAGACUAUUCCAGGGGUGUCUUUACUGUUCUCUUUCUAUUGAACUCCUUCCCUUUCUAAUCUGUCUUCCACACAGCUGACAAAUUGAUACUGGUCAACUACAGACCCAGCAUGGUCAGUCCCUUCCUUGCUCAGAAAGGUUCAAUGGCUCCCAAUUUGCUUUAGGAUAAGACAUCAAUUUCUGUUUGGCAUUUAAAGCCCUCUACUAUCUGGCUCCUACUUAUCUUUCCAGGCUGAUUCCCCAUGAUUUCCCAUCAAGUACUCUACUUUCUAGACACACUGGCUUGCUCACUGCUGCUCAAAUA
RNAcentral lists this long non-coding RNA (1255 nucleotides) under Vombatus ursinus (common wombat). Its description in RNAcentral is "lncRNA (ENSVURG00010023265.1)". Lineage: Eukaryota; Metazoa; Chordata; Mammalia; Diprotodontia; Vombatidae. The record is from RNAcentral.